RNAcentral lists this ribosomal RNA (164 nucleotides) under Oberonia teres. Its description in RNAcentral is "5.8S ribosomal RNA". It matches the Rfam family "5.8S ribosomal RNA". Rfam says of the family: 5.8S ribosomal RNA (5.8S rRNA) is a component of the large subunit of the eukaryotic ribosome. It is transcribed by RNA polymerase I as part of the 45S precursor that also contains 18S and 28S rRNA. The record is from RNAcentral. Lineage: Eukaryota; Viridiplantae; Streptophyta; Magnoliopsida; Asparagales; Orchidaceae.
GGCAUGACUCUCGGCAAUGGAUAUCUCGGCUCUUGCAUCGAUGAAGAGCGCAGCGAAAUGCGAUACGUGGUGCGAAUUGCAGAAUCCCGCGAACCAUCGAGUCUUUGAACGCAAGUUGCGCCCGAGGCCAACCGGCUGAGGGCACGUCCGCCUGGGCGUCAAGC